GUAGGGAAUAUUGCGCAAUGGACGAAAGUCUGACGCAGCGACGCCGCGUGAGUGAUGAAGGCCUUAGGGUCGUAAAGCUCUGUUGAAUGGGAAGAAAAAAAUGACGGUACCAUUCGAGGAAGGACCGGCUAACUUCGUGCCAGCAGCCGCGGUAAUACGAGGGGUCCUAGCGUUGUUCGGAAUCAUUGGGCGUAAAGGGUGUGUAGGUGGCCAUGUAAGUCAGGUGUGAAAGCCCCGGGCUCAACCCGGGAAGUGCACUUGAUACUGCGUGGCUUGAGUACCGAAGAGGGUAGUGGAAGUCCAGGUGUAGUGGUGAAAUACGUAGAUAUCUGGAGGAACACCGGUGGCGAAGGCGGCUACCUGGUCGAGUACUGACACUGAGACACGAAAGCAUGGGGAUCAAACAGGAUUAGAAACCCGAGUAGUCC
This 428-nucleotide ribosomal RNA is filed under the name uncultured bacterium. Its description in RNAcentral is "partial 16S ribosomal RNA". It matches the Rfam family "Bacterial small subunit ribosomal RNA", at positions 354 to 796 of the family's 1533-position model. The record is from RNAcentral.